This 427-nucleotide ribosomal RNA is filed under the name uncultured Methanomicrobiales archaeon. RNAcentral describes it as "bacterial SSU rRNA". It matches the Rfam family "Archaeal small subunit ribosomal RNA", at positions 913 to 1338 of the family's 1478-position model. The record is from RNAcentral. Lineage: Archaea; Methanobacteriati; Methanobacteriota; Methanomicrobia; Methanomicrobiales.
CAACGCCGGGAAACUCACCAGAUAAGACAGCUGAAUGAUAGUCGGGCUGAAGACUCUACUUGACUAGCUGAGAGGAGGUGCAUGGCCGUCGUCAGUUCGUACUGUGAAGCAUCCUGUUUAAGUCAGGCAACGAGCGAGACCCACGCCAACAGUUGCCAGCUCGUCCUCCGGGAUGGUGGGGACACUGUUGGGACCGCCUCUGCUAAAGAGGAGGAAGGAAUGGGCAACGGUAGGUCAGCAUGCCCCGAAUUAUCUGGGCUACACGCGGGCUACAAUGGGUGGGACAAUGGGUAUCGACACCGAAAGGUGAAGGCAAUCUCCUAAACCCAUCCGUAGUUCGGAUUGUGGGCUGCAACUCGCCCACAUGAAGCUGGAAUCUGUAGUAAUCGUGUCUCAAAAUGGCACGGUGAAUAUGUCCCUGCUCCUU